AUUGAACGCUGGCGGCAGGCCUAACACAUGCAAGUCGAACGGUAACAGGAAGAAGCUUGCUUCUUUGCUGAUGAGUGGCGGACGGGUGAGUAAUGUCUGGGAAACUGCCUGAUGGAGGGGGAUAACUACUGGAAACGGUAGCUAAUACCGCAUAACGUCGCAAGACCAAAAAGGGGGACCUUCGGGCCUCUUGCCAUCGGAUGUGCCCAGAUGGGAUUAGCUAGUAGGUGGGGUAACGGCUCACCUAGGCGACGAUCCCUAGCUGGUCUGCGAGGAUGACCGGCCACACUGGAACUGAGACACGGCCCAGACUCUUACGGGAGGCGGCAGUGGGGAAUAUUGGACAAUGGGCGCAAGCCUGAUGCAGCAAGGCCGCGGGUAUGAGGAAGGCCUUCGGUUUGUAAAGUACUUUGAGCGGGGAGGAAGGGAGUAAAGUUAAAACCUUCGCACAUUGACGUUACCCGAACAGAAAGCACCGGCUAACUCCGUG
This 490-nucleotide ribosomal RNA is filed under the name uncultured bacterium. RNAcentral's name for it is "partial 16S ribosomal RNA". It matches the Rfam family "Bacterial small subunit ribosomal RNA", at positions 30 to 507 of the family's 1533-position model. The record is from RNAcentral.